GACGAACGCUGGCGGCGUGCCUAAUACAUGCAAGUAGAACGCUGAAGGAGGAGCUUGCUCUUCUGGAUGAGUUGCGAACGGGUGAGUAACGCGUAGGUAACCUGCCUGGUAGCGGGGGAUAACUAUUGGAAACGAUAGCUAAUACCGCAUAACAGUAGAUGUUGCAUGACAUUUACUUAAAAGGUGCAAUUGCAUCACUACCAGAUGGACCUGCGUUGUAUUAGCUAGUUGGUGGGGUAACGGCUCACCAAGGCGACGAUACAUAGCCGACCUGAGAGGGUGAUCGGCCACACUGGGACUGAGACACGACCCAGACUCCUACGGGAGGCAGCAGUAGGGAAUCUUCGGCAAUGGACGGAAGUCUGACCGAGCAACGCCGCGUGAGUGAAGAAGGUUUUCGGAUCGUAAAGCUCUGUUGUAAGAGAAGAACGAGUGUGAGAGUGGAAAGUUCACACUGUGACGGUAUCUUACCAGAAAGGGACGGCUAACUACGUG
This 495-nucleotide ribosomal RNA is filed under the name uncultured bacterium. Its description in RNAcentral is "partial 16S ribosomal RNA". It matches the Rfam family "Bacterial small subunit ribosomal RNA", at positions 28 to 507 of the family's 1533-position model. The record is from RNAcentral.